GUCUACAGCCAUGCCAUCCUGAACAAGACCGAUCCCGUCUGAUCUCGGAAGCUAAGCCAGGAUCAGGCCUGGUUAGUACUUGAAUGGGAGACCACUUAGGAAGUCCAAGUGCUGUAGGCG
Molecule: ribosomal RNA, 120 nt
Filed under: Pteropus alecto (black flying fox)
Lineage: Eukaryota; Metazoa; Chordata; Mammalia; Chiroptera; Pteropodidae
Source: RNAcentral